This 532-nucleotide ribosomal RNA is filed under the name Rhodotorula sp. 1 PN-2013. RNAcentral describes it as "eukaryotic LSU rRNA". It matches the Rfam family "Eukaryotic large subunit ribosomal RNA", at positions 62 to 598 of the family's 3401-position model. The record is from RNAcentral. Lineage: Eukaryota; Fungi; Basidiomycota; Microbotryomycetes; Sporidiobolales; Sporidiobolaceae.
AAACUAACAAGGAUUCCCCUAGUAGCGGCGAGCGAAGCGGGAAGAGCUCAAAUUUAUAAUCUGGCACCUUCGGUGUCCGAGUUGUAAUCUCUAGAAGUGUUUUCCGCGUUGGACCGCACACAAGUCUGUUGGAAUACAGCGGCAUAGUGGUGAAACCCCCGUAUAUGGUGCGGACGCCCAGCGCUUUGUGAUACACUUUCAAUGAGUCGAGUUGUUUGGGAAUGCAGCUCAAAUUGGGUGGUAAAUUCCAUCUAAAGCUAAAUAUUGGCGAGAGACCGAUAGCGAACAAGUACCGUGAGGGAAAGAUGAAAAGCACUUUGGAAAGAGAGUUAACAGUACGUGAAAUUGUUGGAAGGGAAACGCUUGAAGUCAGACUUGCUUGCCGGAGCUUGCUUCGGUUUGCAGGCCAGCAUCAGUUUUCCGGGGUGGAUAAUGACGGUUUGAAGGUAGCAGUCUCGGCUGUGUUAUAGCUUUCCGUUGGAUACGCCCUGGGGGACUGAGGAACGCAGCGUGCUUUUUGCGAAAGACUCGU